This 2426-nucleotide long non-coding RNA is filed under the name Mus musculus (house mouse). Its description in RNAcentral is "ISR". The record is from RNAcentral. Lineage: Eukaryota; Metazoa; Chordata; Mammalia; Rodentia; Muridae.
ACAAGGGGGAAAAGGAAGAAAUGGUUGCUGACCAAGAGCUGGCUGGGCUAAGGGCGGGAGAGGGGGGAGGGGGCUGAGGCAGCAGUGACCUGAACUGAAGGGGACCGGGCUUGGCCUAGAUGCCCCCCAGGGGGCACAGCCCUCACCAGCCUAGCUACUACUGUGGAAACCCUGCUCUCUGCAGCACGGUGACCUACCAGGGUGGAGGGCACUGAACACUGGAGGAAGAGGGCAGAGGCCUCCUCUCUGUUCCUCGACCCUGCAGACUCAGCCUCCCCAGCCUGCCACCAGAAGCUGAGGCCGGUGUGGAAGCUGGGAACUGACCCCUCUGCUGCCACCAGCAUGUCAAAGCCCUCCCUCCACUCCCCAGUGGGUCUGAGAUGAGUGGGUAGUAUCUCAGUGCCCUGGUAAGAAUAGACAAUAACAACAAGGAUAUUGGGAAGAGAUAUUUUAAAUUCAUCAAUUGCUCAAUCAAGUACUUUUCUUUCUCUUCCCAGCUAUAAAUCUAGAAGGGGUAGAAAAUGGUGAAAAGAAAAAAAAGAAAGAAAGAAAACCGAUCCACAGAGAGAAAGGCAGAGCUCGCUGAGGCUCCAGCUGGAAAGACGAGCCGGCAGUGUGGGGCUGACCCCACAGGAGGCUGGCCACUCUAGCCUGGGGCUUCUCACUCAGACUAACCUCGUGCGGGAAAAACUGGGGGCUCUUUAUUAAUUAAGCAAUUUCAAGAAUUUUUUUUAAAAAAAGAAAAUGUAUUUUUUUCUUCUUGACUGCCUUCCCUUCCAACAUUUUCCCUUCUAGCCCUGUCGUUGCCAUCCGUUUUAAUCCACAAACUAAUUGUAAUCCCAUUAAAGCAGAUAUAAUUUUAUUACUAUUCACGGUUCAUCAAGCUAAUAAUAAUAACUGUUACUGCCAAACUGAAAAAUAAAAGCGGCAAAUAAUAUUUCUGAUGUUUAGAAUAAACUGUAAACAAAAGCAAGCGGACCUGCGAGGGUGACCCAUCAGGUCCACGAGCAGUCCCUCAGGCUCCCCCAGCUCCGCCCACGCUGGUCAGUGACUUCCCCGCCAGCUGCGGCUUCGCUCCAGAGACCGGGUCAGCGCUACCAAGGACAGACCCUCGGGGAAGGGGACAUGAGUGGGCCGCAACAAGGGGGCGUGCCGAGAAUGAUCAGAACAACUCCGGGUCUCUGGUCUUGAAGCUAAAGCGCACGGACUCGCCUGCACCGAAAUCCCGAGCGGGGCGCCGCUCUGAGUUCCCGCGGUGCGGGAUGCGCGGUCCGCACUCGGGGCCACGCUUAGUUCGGCGUUAGCAGGAUACCAAAGGCACUUGUUAAAGCGCAUGCAUCCCCUGCAAACCCAUUCUCGCCCUGACACUUCAAGGCUUUAUAUAGAAACAGGAUUUUCUCGUCUUACACUAGCAGUUCCCAUUAGCGCUCCCCGGGCGCACACUGCUCUCUAAUCCGCGGGCCGGACGCGCCCUGGCCCCCUCCCCCAGCCGCACAGUCGUUCUGUCCCUGCAGAAAGCGCCACCGAGUCUCAGACGCUGAACGUCUUAACGAGUCCAUUCUUUUGAAUGUCGUCCCCCACUCAGCCCCAGUGGGACCGCCUCCCCCCGCACCCCCCCAGCAUUGUGCCACAACCCCAGACUGGCGUCCCGGAGCUCCGGGCGCCCCUCGACCGCCACCGGCAUCACCUGGGCCGCUACGCCGCAGUGCCUGGCCUGCUGUCCCCGAGCCCGGAGCUUCCCGCGCCUGCCCGGGAUCACUUAACCAAGGCUGGUCUUCGCGUGGCACCUAGGUCGACCCUGCAAAGGAGCACAGACCAAGCAUAGCUCAGCCUUCUCCUGCGUCUGGGUCCCAGCAGACCCGUGUCCUCGGGUCUUCCAGACCCAUCUCGGACAGGGCCGGCUUAAAAUGACCCUCCUCUUCUUUUUCUUCUACCCCUCCCAUCGCGGAAGUCUGCUCCCGGGCGAAAUCGGAGACAAUUUCAACUCUGAGAGGAGCAACCCAGCAAGCGAAAUAAACUGUACACCACCAUGCACGUGCGACCAAAAUCUCUCGGCCCUCCUCCAUUUCGAAUACUUCUCUCCUUAUUUCCGAAAUACGCAUUGUUUUAAUACUUCAUCUCAGUUCCAAUAGAAUGGAGAUAUUCUUAACUGUGAACUUUGCAGACAAUCAAAACCUUUUUUAAAGCCAUUCCACCGUGACAACAAAGCGAUUAAGAUGUUUUCUAUUUCGUAAAUACCAUUUAAAAUUGCUAUAUUUUAUGCUCUGGGUUCUACACUGUCUUAUUUGCACACUAUUUUGUGUCUGAUUUAAUCUAUAACCGAAAACAUAAUGUAUUAAGUGAAUACAUAUUUGCUCAGCUGAUAAGCUUUUUUUAAUAUUUAUUCGGAGAAUUUUGCAUUGUAAAUAAACGGGACUACACAAAGA